Molecule: ribosomal RNA, 948 nt
Filed under: Triticum aestivum (bread wheat)
Lineage: Eukaryota; Viridiplantae; Streptophyta; Magnoliopsida; Poales; Poaceae
Description: partial small subunit ribosomal RNA
Source: RNAcentral
AUCGACAAAGCAGUCAACCUGAAGUUACUGCUAUACAUGUUUGAAAUGAUGUCUGGGUUAAAAGUUAACUUUCAAAAAAGUGAGAUUUUAACUGUGGGGGGAGAUGAUGCUGUGAUUAAGGAAUAUGCCGACCUCUUCAACUCUGAUAUAGGUAGAUUCCCCAUUAAAUAUCUGGGUAUGCCUGUUAGUUAUACCACUCUGAGAAAUUCUGAUUGGGAGUUCAUUGUUUGCAAAUAUCUGAAAAGAUUUGAAGCCUGGGUGGGUAAUGCUGCCUCCAUGGGAGGGAGACACACUUUAUUAGACUCUCUUGUUACCCAGAUAUCACUGUACCACAUAUCUAUGUGGCUGAUGAACAAAACGUUCAUUGAAAGAUUAGAUAAGCAUAGAAGAAGAUUUUUCUGGCAAGGGUGUAACAAGAAAAAAAGAUAUUAUCUUGUUAAAUGGAGAAGAAUCUGUAGAUCCAAAGAGAAAGGUGGUCUAGGGAUCAAGGACCUGCGCAAACAGAAUAUAAGCCUUAUGGUGAAAUGGUGGUGGAAACUUGAAACACAAAGUGGGGUGUGGCAGGACAUUGUUCGUGCUCGUUACUUACGGAAUAGGACAGUAGCUGAUGUUGGCCCAAAGUUUUCUGACUCCCCCUGUUGGAAAGCCCUGCUGAAAGUCAAGGAAAUUUAUAUGGCUGGUAGAAAAAUUAAUAUUGAGUCUGGGAACAUUGCCAGGGUGUGGGGUGAUCCUAUUAACGGAGUGCCUCUGUUCAAGGAACAAUACCCUCAGCUCUUUGACAUUUGCAAUGCCCCUGAAUGUACAAUCAACCAGGUGUUGAAUGUGGAAAUUGAUUCCUUUUUCAGGCGUAGACUCACUCCCGUUCUAUCAGGACAGUGGGGGCCAUUUUGGAUAUUGUUAACAGACUACCUCUUACUGACAAAGAGGAUCGGGUGGUCUGGAGCCUGA